CACAUCAGAGAGUGGGCAGAGAACGGUCUGUAGCUAUGCAUGGAAAUAUGAUGGAGGCGCCGGUUCUAGCUCUGGAAGAUGGUGCUGCUAUCAGUGUUGGUGAUGGGCUGCUGACCUCAUCUGGACCUUCCUCGCCUCAGCACAGAAGUUUGGCUGAGCCGCUGGAGAAGGCUGGGUUGAGCUCACCCCUUUCUGCCACUCAAGUGCCAUGCAUGACAACCUCGAAGAUUAACUUAGCUGGGCCGUCUGGGUCGGCUGCUGUAGGCACGCUGGAUUCAGUCCUCCCUGUUUCGCCCCAGCGACACGGGGCUGUUGUUGGGUCGCUGGAACAGGCUGGUGCGAAUUCGCUCCAUCCUGGUGGUUUUGAUUUUACACUCGAGGCGUCUUCUGUCAGAAUGGGGGUGUUGUCGGUUGCUGGGACUAUUUCCCCACGGGCUCUGCUUGUCUAUUCUAGAAGACGCCCCAUUCUCGCAGAUGUUGGUGCGGACUCUGUUUCUAGGACAGCAGACCGGGUGGAUGAUCUCGAGCUUAGUUCUCCAACGGGAAGGCAAGAGCUACUAGAGGGACAGACGGGGGAUGAUUGCUCCACUGACUGUAUUUCGGCAUCAGUUUUGGAUACCACGACUUCAGAUGUUGACCAUUCGCUGGUGCAGGAUUUUUUGG
RNAcentral lists this unclassified non-coding RNA (663 nucleotides) under Zea mays. RNAcentral's name for it is "misc RNA Zm00001eb027110". The record is from RNAcentral. Lineage: Eukaryota; Viridiplantae; Streptophyta; Magnoliopsida; Poales; Poaceae.